This 274-nucleotide ribosomal RNA is filed under the name uncultured bacterium. Its description in RNAcentral is "partial 16S ribosomal RNA". It matches the Rfam family "Bacterial small subunit ribosomal RNA", at positions 523 to 796 of the family's 1533-position model. The record is from RNAcentral.
AUACGGAGGGUGCAAGCGUUACUCGGAAUCACUGGGCGUAAAGCGCGCGCAGGCGGCCAUUUAAGUUGGAUGUGAAAGCCUAUGGCUCAACCAUAGAACUGCAUCCAAAACUAUUUAGCUAGAGUGUGGGAGAGGAAGAUGGAAUUAGUUGUGUAGGGGUAAAAUCCGUAGAGAUAACUAGGAAUACCAAAAGCGAAGGCAAUCUUCUGGAACACUACUGACGCUGAGGCGCGAAAGCGUGGGGAGCAAACGGGAUUAGAAACCCCAGUAGUCC